CAGCAGUAGCCGCGGUAAUACGGAGGGCGCGAGCGUUACCCGGAUUUACUGGGCGUAAAGGGCGUGUAGGCGGCCUGGGGCGUCCCAUGUGAAAGGCCACGGCUCAACCGUGGAGGAGCGUGGGAUACGCUCAGGCUAGAGGGUGGGAGAGGGUGGUGGAAUUCCCGGAGUAGCGGUGAAAUGCGCAGAUACCGGGAGGAACGCCGAUGGCGAAGGCAGCCACCUGGUCCACUUCUGACGCUGAGGCGCGAAAGCGUGGGGAGCAAACCGGAUUAGAUACCCGGGUAGUCCCUGUCUCUUAUAU
RNAcentral lists this ribosomal RNA (304 nucleotides) under uncultured bacterium. RNAcentral's name for it is "partial 16S ribosomal RNA". It matches the Rfam family "Bacterial small subunit ribosomal RNA", at positions 506 to 809 of the family's 1533-position model. The record is from RNAcentral.